AGCUGCGUGCUGACAUUGCGCAGGUAACACGUGCCGGAGGCCAGACAUGCAAUAUAGGCUCAUGACACUGACUGAUAAUUGUGUAGUGAUGUCCUUGGUUUACCUUAGAGCCGUUUGGUAUCUAUUUGGGACAAGUAGGAACGCUUUAGCAAACUUUAUUCCACCUUUUCCCCUGACAGUCUACUGAAUUGAUUCUUUUCCUAGUCUUUGGUUUCUGGCACAUUCUGGUUUAAGGAUUUUGGCGUGCUGCAGCCCAAGGGUGUUAGAAACCCUCUGAAAGUAAUAGCCAUGACUCAGCAGAAAGUCUUUCCUCGGCUUGAACGACUUAUUCAGCUGUUGGAGGAAACCAAAGCACUUGGCCAGUCGACCAGCACACAGCGGCAGCAGAGCUCUGGUACAAUAACCUCAUUUAUGCCUUAUUACAGAAAAGUUAAUCAUGCUUUUAUUUCAGUUGCAAAAUGUUUCUCAAAAGGGAAGCAGGUGUUCGGGCGAGACAGUGCUUCCAGAGCGUGGACCGAAUCUGUGUCUGUUGUGAAAGGUGUCUCAACUCAGUCCUUUAAAGAUCAAAUGAAGGCUCAGUCUUCAAGUGAACAGAAUGCCACGGUGCCCUCUCUUCCUCUGUCAAACCCAUCUUACACUCAGAAAAGCCAGGAAAAAACACAGCUGAACCACAGCCAGGAUGUCCAAUCUCUCCAGGAACCUGGUCUGUCCGCACACAUCAGUAUCCCACAGCUAGCAGGUCAGAGUGUUUUACUUGAGAGCUUUGAGCUGAACCAGUGUAUGUUUAAGACUCGUAGGUUCUUUUAACCAUGAAGGUCACAUUUGAACCACAGGAGCACACUGAUGCAAAAACGUGAUUUGUUACAUUGCUUUAACACAUGACUCAAGGUGUUAUUGGGGCUAUUAGCAUGUUUUCUAAGGCAGCC
RNAcentral lists this long non-coding RNA (926 nucleotides) under Sinocyclocheilus grahami. Its description in RNAcentral is "lncRNA (ENSSGRG00000037827.1)". The record is from RNAcentral. Lineage: Eukaryota; Metazoa; Chordata; Actinopteri; Cypriniformes; Cyprinidae.